RNAcentral lists this ribosomal RNA (680 nucleotides) under Salmonella enterica. RNAcentral's name for it is "bacterial SSU rRNA". It matches the Rfam family "Bacterial small subunit ribosomal RNA", at positions 842 to 1522 of the family's 1533-position model. The record is from RNAcentral. Lineage: Bacteria; Pseudomonadati; Pseudomonadota; Gammaproteobacteria; Enterobacterales; Enterobacteriaceae. RNAcentral also lists the same sequence under 1 other name.
GCUUCCGGAGCUAACGCGUUAAGUAGACCGCCUGGGGAGUACGGCCGCAAGGUUAAAACUCAAAUGAAUUGACGGGGGCCCGCACAAGCGGUGGAGCAUGUGGUUUAAUUCGAUGCAACGCGAAGAACCUUACCUGGUCUUGACAUCCACAGAACUUUCCAGAGAUGGAUUGGUGCCUUCGGGAACUGUGAGACAGGUGCUGCAUGGCUGUCGUCAGCUCGUGUUGUGAAAUGUUGGGUUAAGUCCCGCAACGAGCGCAACCCUUAUCCUUUGUUGCCAGCGAUUAGGUCGGGAACUCAAAGGAGACUGCCAGUGAUAAACUGGAGGAAGGUGGGGAUGACGUCAAGUCAUCAUGGCCCUUACGACCAGGGCUACACACGUGCUACAAUGGCGCAUACAAAGAGAAGCGACCUCGCGAGAGCAAGCGGACCUCAUAAAGUGCGUCGUAGUCCGGAUUGGAGUCUGCAACUCGACUCCAUGAAGUCGGAAUCGCUAGUAAUCGUGGAUCAGAAUGCCACGGUGAAUACGUUCCCGGGCCUUGUACACACCGCCCGUCACACCAUGGGAGUGGGUUGCAAAAGAAGUAGGUAGCUUAACCUUCGGGAGGGCGCUUACCACUUUGUGAUUCAUGACUGGGGUGAAGUCGUAACAAGGUAACCGUAGGGGAACCUGCGGUUGGA